UGGAAAAAACCCCUGUUGUAGCCCCCUUGUUGAGGGGGGCAUACAUAAGCGCGCCUCAAUAGCUACUUAGUCAACGCGGGUCAAAUAUUUUACUAUUCUAUUGAGGCGGGCUUUUUUGGUGUUCGCUUCUACAGAAGCUGUUGAAGGGGGCUUUCCUUGCCCGCCUCAAUAGAGAGAAGCUGUUGAAGGGGGCUUUUAAUUGCCCGCCUCAAUAGGGUCUCUCUGUUGAAGGGGGCUUUUAAUUGCCCGCCUCAAUAGGCUACAUUAAAUUUUAAAAAAAUAAAACCACCGCCAAACAGAUCGAUAAGCUUCUCUUCUCUUCACAUCUCGUCGUCGUACUUCACAUCUAGCUCUUCCAACGCAUACCUAUCCUCACCGCGCGACUCCACCACCACCAUAACCACCACCACCACCUUCCUCACCGCGCGGCUCCACCACCACCAUCUGAAGGAGAGUUUCCCCACCGUCGUCUUUCCUACCUUCGUGCGACUCCAUCUGUUUCACACAAUCGAUUUGUGAAGCUAGACUACUAAAGAGACUUAAGUACCCAGGAGCGACUGAAUUUGGGGUGGAUUUGUCUCAGGCCAACAUCUCAAUUCAACUUGAUGUUGGGAAGGGAGGAAAUAGUGGCUCAAAUGCUAUAGCACCCGUUGUAGAGAAAUGAGUCGUCGUUGGAUGUACGGUGACCAUACUACGGUGGAAUACUUGAGUGGGGUUGAGGAGUUCCUUAGAUGUGCUUUAGCACACCAACGGAAUACGAAAGCCGCAAAGAUCUAUUGUCCUUGCCGUGAUUGUAACAAUGUAAGGCGGUUAGGUGAUAUUGAUGAAAUUGAGGAUCAUUUAUUUCGUCGUGGGUUUAAGCAAGAUUACCAUGUCUGGUUUUGGCAUGGUGAGAAAAUACUUGA
This is a long non-coding RNA of Spinacia oleracea (spinach), 905 nucleotides long. RefSeq lists it as uncharacterized. NCBI's taxonomy places the organism in Eukaryota, Viridiplantae, Streptophyta, Magnoliopsida, Caryophyllales, Amaranthaceae. The record is from RefSeq and is a predicted model, not a curated record. The transcript is spliced from 3 exons.